Molecule: long non-coding RNA, 2159 nt
Organism: Mangifera indica (mango)
Lineage: Eukaryota; Viridiplantae; Streptophyta; Magnoliopsida; Sapindales; Anacardiaceae
Exons: 5
Source: RefSeq, a predicted model, not a curated record
UUCAUUGCUUCUGGGUUUGUUAUUGUUAAUUUGAGUUUAAAAAUGGGUUCUUUUUGGUUUUAAGUUUUUGUUGUUAUUAUGAACUGUUAUUAUGAUUGUUUGCUUUGGUUGAUUCUUUUUGUCAUUGAGUUGUUAUGUUUAUUUUGAUCGUUUUGAAUUGUGUUAGAGCAGACGAAUAAUUUACAGUGGACGCUGGCAUCUGUUCCUUUGACUAAAGCAUAGCACCUCACUCUAUCAUUCCUCUUCUGAGGUGGCAACAGGGCAUGGAGGGGUUGAAUAUCCCAUUUCUGAUCCUUGAAUGAAGGAAGCUUUUCAUGUCCGCGCUAGCAGGAUUACAAGGAAUCCUUGUCUUCAGCCCGCGGGGGAAUAUUCAUCCCCUUUCCUACCUCUUACCCCACCCCCACCCUGUCAACCUACUUUUGACCUAACUUCAUAAAACUGCAAAUUGGGAUGGUCUUCAGCUUUGCAAAUACUAAGGCUUUUGGUGUUAAUCUAGGACCCUUUACAGAAUGGUCAAAUUUCAGAGACAUCUUCAAGCACAAGACACAAACAUUCUGUCUACUUUAAUGAUGCUGUAUAGACAAAGUACAUCAUGUUCAAGAAAUUUCAGGGAGCUAUGCAGAUAGUAGCCAUGGCUGAAACAGUGAUACACCAUAACGUGGAUGACUCUUUGGAAAAUUAUUGGUUUCGCUUGUUAUUUUGAGAAUGGGCACAAUUUUUCAUCUUUCUGUACAUUGGGUGGACUUUUAGAUCAGAGGGCUUGGCCCCACGUUUCUCUGUUUUGCCAACUACGAAGUCUAAAGGGGAGAAAAUGUUGCUUCCCAUCUAUAGCAUUGCAAGUGUUUUUGCAUGUUUGAGCUCUUUGAAAUAUGUUCUACAUGUUAGAAUUGUGUAACCUAAUUCAAUUUAAAUUAAUUUUCCAUUAUGAUAUAGGUUUUCCUAAUAUGUUUCUAUGCAGAGUCUUUUUCUAAAAAAUACAAUUAAGGAUAGGAAUAUCAUUUGUUUUAAAUAUUAUAAUAAGAGUCUUAUUAGAAUAUGCGUUAUGAGUCUUAUUAGGAAUAGUAAUCAGAGUUAGGGAAUGAAAGGCUCAGUGUGAGGCUAGUGAGAGUCUCUUGUUAUUUUUCUUCUUCACAGUGAAAUUCCGUUGUGGCAAAAUGGACAGAACUCUCUUGAGAGAAUUAACCGUUAUAAAACUUGGGUUUUUGUGUGGUUAUUUUUAGUCCUUUGUUCACUGUUUUUUCACUUUCAUAGGGGUUUAGAAUUGCUAGCAUCCAAUUAAAUCCUUGCAAUUCUAGCAUUUUAGCUCUGCAAAUUAAUUUAUGUACAGGUAUAAACAGUUUGCUCUCAGGUUAUUGCAUAAACAAGUAACCGUAACUGUUUACCUUUGAAGAAAAAUUUUCAGAUAUUAUUUCCUACUUUUUGAUGAUACUGAACCUCUAAUUACAGGGAAUGGAUGCAGCAACAUUUAAAGAUUUGAAUCAUCAUGAAUGGCAUAUUAGUGUUGUAAGCACUACUAUAUGUAUAAUCCUCUACAUCGCAUUUCAUCCAUUAAUUUGUCUGUGUACAUACAUGAAUUAUUGUCUUAAUGACAUUGGAUUUACCAAAGGGAUCAGCAAGUUACUGGAUUGAUGAACAUCACUGACUCUUGAGAAUCAUUAACAUGAGAAUCAGCAAGUUAUUUUGCUUCUGUAGUGGUUCUCAAGAAUCAAUUACAGUACCGAUUCAGUAACAUGAUAGGACCAUUAUUACAAUUUUUACAACUGGUACUGAGUUUGGUAUGCCUGUUGUUUUCUGUUCAUUAUAUUAGCUGUCAAGUGUUCUUACAUGUUUUAAUGUUUGAUGUAGCCAACUUCUUAUGGUGAUGAAAGCUCGAACAAUUCUCUAGUGGUUUUUUCAGUACUUCUUAUGGUGAUGAAACAGCAACAGGCAAUUUUAUAUUAAUUUGAAAGCCAUAUAAUGUAGAAAUCUGUGAAUGCAGUAGACUGUGAAGGUUCAUUCACUUGGAUUAGAGCCCGCAGCCCAUCUACAUAUGCAUUCAAUAUUGUCAGUCAAUUGAAAACUGUAUAUUCUUUUCUAUUUGUGAGGUGAUCUCUUCAUAUGCCCUUGUCAUAUUUUUGGCAAAGAUAAGGUAUUCAUCCUACCAUGAAUUUGAUGUUCAA